CUUAUACAUGCAAGUCGAGCGGACCUUUUAAAGCUUGCUUUUGAAAGGUCAGCGGCGGACGGGUGAGUAACACGUGGGCAACCUGCCUGUAAGACUGGGAUAACUUCGGGAAACCGGAGCUAAUACCGGAUAAUAUAAGGAACCUCCUGGUUCUUUAUUGAAAGAUGGUUUCGGCUAUCACUUACAGAUGGGCCCGCGGCGCAUUAGCUAGUUGGUGAGGUAAUGGCUCACCAAGGCGACGAUGCGUAGCCGACCUGAGAGGGUGAUCGGCCACACUGGGACUGAGACACGGCCCAGACUCCUACGGGAGGCAGCAGUAGGGAAUCUUCCACAAUGGACGAAAGUCUGAUGGAGCAACGCCGCGUGAGCGAUGAAGGCCUUCGGGUCGUAAAGCUCUGUUGUUAGGGAAGAACAAGUGCGAGAGUAACUGCUCGCACCUUGACGGUACCUAACCAGAAAGCCACGGCUAACUACGUGCCAGCAGCCGCGGUAAUACGUAGGUGGCAAGCGUUGUCCGGAAUUAUUGGGCGUAAAGCGCGCGCAGGUGGUCCUUUAAGUCUGAUGUGAAAGCCCACGGCUCAACCGUGGAGGGUCAUUGGAAACUGGGGGACUUGAGUGCAGAAGAGGAAAGU
This 632-nucleotide ribosomal RNA is filed under the name Bacillus sp. (in: firmicutes). RNAcentral's name for it is "bacterial SSU rRNA". It matches the Rfam family "Bacterial small subunit ribosomal RNA", at positions 48 to 662 of the family's 1533-position model. Lineage: Bacteria; Bacillati; Bacillota; Bacilli; Caryophanales; Bacillaceae. The record is from RNAcentral.